AUUGAACGCUGGCGGCAGGCCUAACACAUGCAAGUCGAGCGGAUGAAGGGAGCUUGCUCCUGGAUUCAGCGGCGGACGGGUGAGUAAUGCCUAGGAAUCUGCCUGGUAGUGGGGGAUAACGUCCGGAAACGGGCGCUAAUACCGCAUACGUCCUGAGGGAGAAAGUGGGGGAUCUUCGGACCUCACGCUAUCAGAUGAGCCUAGGUCGGAUUAGCUAGUUGGUGGGGUAAAGGCCUACCAAGGCGACGAUCCGUAACUGGUCUGAGAGGAUGAUCAGUCACACUAGAACUGAGACACGGACCAGACUCCUACGGGAGGCAGCAGUGGGGAAUAUUGGACAAUGGGCGGAAGCCUGAUACAGCCAGGGCGCGUGUGUGAAGGAGGUCUUCGGAUUGUAAAGCACUUUAAGUUGGGAGGAAGGGCAGUAAGUUAAUACCUUGCUGUUUUGACGUUACCAACAGAAUAAGCACCGGCUAACUUCGUG
RNAcentral lists this ribosomal RNA (484 nucleotides) under uncultured bacterium. RNAcentral describes it as "partial 16S ribosomal RNA". It matches the Rfam family "Bacterial small subunit ribosomal RNA", at positions 30 to 507 of the family's 1533-position model. The record is from RNAcentral.